CUAUGUGUAAAAACCAAAGUAAACAUGAGUCUGUGAUUGAGGCAGAGUUACUGGAGGGAACUCGAGAGAAGGGGAAGAAGAUAGAAUAAAUGGGGUGAAGGGGACAGGGAAGUGGGCAGGUCUGGGAGGAGUUGGCGGCGGAAGAGACCAUUGGGCAGGGGGCCGUGGCCUGCAGUACUGUCCCUGUGGGGAGUGGAGAAGAUUCCAUCCUCCUGGGGGAUGAACAGGGCGGGGCUUUGAGGAGCAAGAAGACUCUCCUGAGGUAGCUGGGAAAAGCCGGAAGUCUUGGAGCUGCGAUUUCUCUGCCUGCCCCUCGGUCGUCCUCCCUUCCCAGGAAGUUUCGGGCUCUCUCUGAUUUUCUGGGAACAGCGAUCACUUUUGUCCUAGGGAAGCCACAUCCGUGCUUGCAGCUCCCUGAGGAACCUGCAGCCAGAGGGAAUGGGCCCUGGGAGCCUCAGAUCUCCUCAGGUGAGUGCAGUUCAUCUAGACCUGAUCAAAACCAACCAUCACAACCAUUUGCCUUGACAUGGAGGAUGGUGUGUGAAUCUGGCAAUAACUUACUUAUAGAUUGUCGUAUUACAAAAAUGGUUAUUAUGUUAACACAAUAGGAACAAUAUUGCCCAUCUCUUCUGUGUUUUUGACUGAUUCACUGAGAUUUUAAUUUUAAUAUCUUGCCAUUUAUCCUUGUUUUAAGUUUACCAAUUUAUUUUUCUAUUUUUUUUUUCGAAUACAGAUUUAGUUCAUCUCUUUUUCUAAAUGCUUCAUGUGCGAUUAUAAGUCCUCUCCUCCCAAUGUAGUCUCCAAAAUGCUUGCUUCCCAGUCCAAAGAAUAACCAACAUAGUGGAGCCAACAUGGCUGGAACUCUACCAGAGUCCCUGAGGAUUACUUUGGCAGAAUCCUAGAAAUUUGGGGAUAUUGUUUAAACAUUGUCAUUUUUUUUUUUUUGUUUGUUUUGCAAUGUUAUCAUUUCUGAGAUCUGUUUUGACCCAGUUAUUGUUGAAUAUGUCACUGGUAAUUCUCCAUUUAUGUUUAUAUCUUCUGUCAGUGAUCCCUGAAUCAAUUUCCAUUCUUAUUUCCUUAGGUAAUGAAAGAAUGUAUGAAUUAUUUCUGCCCAUUUACCUUUGUCUGCAGCAUCUCUAUAUCCCAUAUUUAUAGAAGUUCCACAUGUGACAAAGAAAUAUGCAUAUUUCUGUGUUGUCCCAUUUAGAAGAUGCCACAAGUUUUUUACCUCCAAUGUCUUUAGAAUUUGUUCAUCACUUCUGCUUUCAUCUCAUUCUACAUUUGUUCAUCUCCCUUUUCUUUUUAGUUCUCUUGUAGUUGCUUUUCCUCUCUUCCCCUUCAACUAGAGUUCUGUUCAUCAGUUUUUAAAUUUCAUCCAUUUUUUUCCCUUUCCAAGGAGGAUUUCUCCCCUUCUCCUCGUUGUCCAUCUUCCCUUUUUGUUUUACCUACAUACUCAUUCUGUCAGUCAUAGCCACUCUACUCCUCUGAUCGGUCUCCUUUCUCUGGACACUUCAUACAAUCAACAGCUUCCCAGUUAUCCAUUUUAAGCUGUGCCCUGUAGAUGCUUUCUGCUGUUGACUCUAGUCCAACCCCCUUUCCCCCCAGAUUCCUCUUUCCCAUGGUGCUUUUCUUUCAGAAUAUUGUGUAUCACAGCAGGUGUCAAGGAGAACAUGGCUCCAUAGCUAGGAACAUUUCCUCCUAAUAUUUACCCUCUCUUAUUUCUUUGCCUUUCUUCCAUAUUCUCCUAGAAAUCUCAGUCCUGUCUUUUCAGGGACUAACCCCCUAAGCCUCAGAAUGAAGUUCCUUAUCUCCUCUAAGAAUGUCAUCAAUGAAACUUCCUUCCUUUCUGCACCUUUUCCACUGUCAGCAUAGCAAUUUUUAGCUUAUGUUUUGUUUUUGAGUCCUGGGUUUGGUUUUUCUGUGGAUUCUUCUCAUUGGAAUUUCAUUUUCUUUGUCCAGAAUUUCCUUCCUGAUCGGGUCCAUUUUUUUAACCAGCUGUGUCUUUCCAGGGAACCUAUUGAAGGAAGUGAACUAUGAAAGCUGUCUCACAAGAUGGAGACAUGUCCUAAAGACUGCUUGAAGGUGGGCUGUGGCCCAUAGACGGGUAUUUUUCUCCAGAAGCGCUUUGUGAGACUAAGUUAGGGUUACCUUGGCAUUAUAACUCUCACAUAAGGUAAUUCAGUAAUCCUACAGAUGUGGUCAGGUUGGAUGUUUUCCUCAUUUAUGACUUAGAAUGGGAGGUCAUUUGUCCUGGCUAAUCAGGGCAAGGAUCCAGCCUAUAGGGGGUUAGCCCAGGCCCCUACAUAAUUCUUGUCUGUUACCGGGGCCCUGCCUCCCCUUGCCUAACUCCUUGUGGGAAGGGAGGGGCUCUUUUUCUUGAGAUCAUAAUAAAAUGCCUGUCUGCUUUUACCUUGAGAAA
Molecule: long non-coding RNA, 2419 nt
Organism: Antechinus flavipes (yellow-footed antechinus)
Lineage: Eukaryota; Metazoa; Chordata; Mammalia; Dasyuromorphia; Dasyuridae
Exons: 2
Source: RefSeq, a predicted model, not a curated record